Molecule: ribosomal RNA, 397 nt
Filed under: uncultured bacterium
Lineage: Bacteria
Description: bacterial SSU rRNA
Rfam family: Bacterial small subunit ribosomal RNA
Source: RNAcentral
UAAUACGUAGGGGGCAAGCGUUGUCCGGAAUCAUUGGGCGUAAAGCGCGUGUAGGCGGCUUGAUAAGUCUGUUGUGAAAGUCCAGGGCUCAACCCUGGAAUGCCGAUGGAUACUGUCAAGCUCGAGUCCGGAAGAGGCGAGUGGAAUUCCUGGUGUAGCGGUGAAAUGCGCAGAUAUCAGGAGGAACACCAAUGGCGAAGGCAGCUCGCUGGGACGGUACUGACGCUGAGACGCGAAAGCGUGGGGAGCAAACAGGAUUAGAUACCCUGGUAGUCCACGCCGUAAACGAUGGGUACUAGGUGUGGGGGGUGUCGACUCCCUCCGUGCCGAAGCUAACGCAUUAAGUACCCCGCCUGGGGAGUACGGCCGCAAGGCUAAAACUCAAAUGAAUUGACGG